This 387-nucleotide ribosomal RNA is filed under the name uncultured bacterium. Its description in RNAcentral is "bacterial SSU rRNA". It matches the Rfam family "Bacterial small subunit ribosomal RNA", at positions 32 to 524 of the family's 1533-position model. The record is from RNAcentral.
AACGCUUGUAGUUAGCUUAACACAUGCAAGUUAAACAUUUUUAUUAUUAAAAUUUAGCGAACGGGUGAGUAAUGCACAGAAAUUUACCUUAAUUUACUAAAUUUAGAUAAGUCUGUGUAAGAUUAAGUAGUUGGUGAAUUAAGCUUACCAAGCUUAUAAUCUUUAGCUGGUCUUUGAGGAUGAACAGCCACACUGGAAUUGAGAUAUGGUCCAGACUUUUUUAUAGGGGCAGCAGUGAGGAAUAUUGGGCACUAGGCGUAAGCUUGACCCAGCUAAACUACGUGUGUGAUUUAAGGUAAUUAACUGUAAAGCACUUUGUGUAAGUAGAAAUUAUGAUUUAACUUAUAAAAAAGCCCUGGCUAAUUUCGUGCCAGCAGCCGCGGUAAG